UUUUGGACAAUGGGGGCAACCCUGAUCCAGCAAUGCCGCGUGAGUGAAGAAGGCCUUCGGGUUGUAAAGCUCUUUUGUCAGGGAAGAAACACCGGCUCUAACACAGUCCGGGAAUGACGGUACCUGAAGAAUAAGCACCGGCUAACUACGUGCCAGCAGCCGCGGUAAUACGUAGGGUGCAAGCGUUAAUCGGAAUUACUGGGCGUAAAGCGUGCGCAGGCGGUUAUACAAGACAGGCGUGAAAUCCCCGGGCCUAACCUGGGAAUGGCGCCUGUGACUGUAUAGCUAGAGUGUGUCAGAGGGGGGUAGAAUUCCACGUGUAGCAGUGAAAUGCGUAGAUAUGUGGAGGAAUACCAAUGGCGAAGGCAGCCCCCUGGGAUAACACUGACGCUCAUGCACGAA
This 402-nucleotide ribosomal RNA is filed under the name uncultured bacterium. Its description in RNAcentral is "bacterial SSU rRNA". It matches the Rfam family "Bacterial small subunit ribosomal RNA", at positions 362 to 757 of the family's 1533-position model. The record is from RNAcentral.